GAUGAAACGUAGCGAAAUGCGAUAAGUAAUGUGAAUUGCAGAAUUCCGUGAAUCAUCGAAUCUUUGAACGCACAUUGCGCCCUCUGGUAUUCCGCAGGGCAUGCCUGUUCGAGCGUCAUUUCAACCCUCAAGCCCCGCUUGGUGUUGGGCCCCGCCCGCUGUGGCCGGCCCUAAAGACAGUGGCGGCGCCGCCUGGCCCUCAGCGUAGUACAUCUCUCGCUCCAGGGUCCGGUGGCCGCCUGCCAGAACCCCCCAACUCUGUGGUUGACCUCGGAUCAGGUAGGGAUACCCGCUGAACUUAAGCAUAUCAAUAAGCGGAGGA
RNAcentral lists this unclassified non-coding RNA (322 nucleotides) under soil metagenome. RNAcentral's name for it is "partial contains 5.8S ribosomal RNA, internal transcribed spacer 2, and large subunit ribosomal RNA". The stretch from base 1 to 118 matches the Rfam family "5.8S ribosomal RNA", at positions 35 to 154 of the family's 154-position model. The record is from RNAcentral.